Molecule: long non-coding RNA, 1389 nt
Organism: Myotis myotis
Lineage: Eukaryota; Metazoa; Chordata; Mammalia; Chiroptera; Vespertilionidae
Exons: 2
Source: RefSeq, a predicted model, not a curated record
GGCUCCAGCAGUUUCCAGGCUCCCCUCGGCGGGGCUGAAUGAUCAAAACUGGUGGUGAGAAUUUUUCCGGGCCGUUUCUAGGCAGCCCUCCCCCUCCACCGGCUCCGACAACCCCCCUUCUCCUCCUCCUCCUCCCUUUUCCUCCCCCUCCCCCAGCGUCUGGGCUUAGUGAUCAAAAUAGAGGAAGAUGGUUGUCGCCGCAAUCCUGGGCUUUGCAAGGCGCGGUUUAAUGGACCGCCUGUCAGCUUCCUGCUCGCAGGAGGAGGUGACAAGCCGAGCGAACCGGGAAGGGCCUGGGGCCCAGCAGGCUGCACCCCGCGCCCGAGCUCCGGUCCCCCUCCACCCCUGGGACGCGCCUUCUAGAACGCGCGGUGGCGACGCCAAAACAGACCAGGGCUGCUUUUUCCUCCCGCCCCCCCCCCCUUUAAAACAAAGCAGCGAUUCAUCCCCUCUCCCCCCAGCAGCGCGGUUAGGUAGGAUGGGCUGGCGAGAAGGUCGCUUUCCUAGCCCAGGCCUGCGGGUCCCUCCCUGAAACGCGGUGUCAGAUGGUUACUGAUUAAUAUUUUGGCGAGGCCUCGGCGGCCGGCAGCGGAAUAAAUUUGGGGGGAAAGUUCAGCCCCUUGAGGACAGUUUCAAGUUGCCCUUCCUGAAGCCUCCAGCGCUGGUUUCUAGGCUGCCCUCUUUUGGAAGCAGAAGCUCCGCGGGGGGAGGAAGGAGGGGUGAGAAGGAAAGAAGAAAGGAACGAAAAUAGCCGAAUCCGAGGGGAACUAGCGGCGGUGUCCUCGCUUGGAGCAGGGCGCACAGGUCUCGGUGGCGGCCGGGGCAGCUCCGGGCAGCCAGGAGCAGAGACGGAGAGGAGGGGGUGAGGGGAGAGAAAGGAGGUAUUGUGUCUGUGUUCCUUGGAGGAGGGGGAUGGCUGCAGAAAUAAAAUAAACGCAGUUGUGCUGGCGAGGCUGCUGGAAGCCCGGGCAGGGGAAGGGGCCGAGCGCGGGGGCGCAGCCCUGGUGGGCGCCGAGCGUCCUCCACUCUUAUCCUGAGGCCUUUGUGGGCUCCCUGUAAACCCUCCCACGCCAGAGCCCCGUCGCUUCCCCACCCCUCGGGUUGCCCUCCAAUAUUCGGAGCUCAGACCCCGCUUCCCCUCACCCCUUGUCUCCGCCCAGGUCUGGAAUGUUUUCUUUUCUUUUAAUAUAGCGCAAGGAAAAAAAUGUGUCUUGAGAGCCGGGGUGGGGAACACAAAGCGCUCGCAGGGUGGAAAAUAACAAAGCCUAUUUUUAUAAAUGUUUAAUGUUUUCCCCCCUGGAUGCUCCAAGACGCCGUAAUUGUGACGGCGGGGCAUGUGUGCCAUAAAUCAUUUAGUUGCUAAUAAAAAUUCUGCAUGUUUGCCCUGGA